CCUACGGGUGGCAGCAGUGAGGAAUAUUGGUCAAUGGGCGCGAGCCUGAACCAGCCAAGUAGCGUGAAGGAUGACUGCCCUACGGGUUGUAAACUUCUUUUAUAAAGGAAUAAAGUGAGGCACGUGUGCUUUUUUGCAUUUACUUUAUGAUUAAGGACCGGCUACCUCCUUGCCGGCAGCGGCGGUAAUACGGAGGAUCCGAGGGUUAUCCGGAUUUAUUGGGUUUAAAGGGAGCGUAGUUGGGUUGUUAAGUCAGUUGUGAAAGUUUGCGGCUCAACCGUAAAAUUGCAUUUGAUACUGGCAGCCUUGAGUACAGUUGAGGUAGGCGGAAUUCGUGGUGUAGCGGUGAAAUGCUUAGAUAUCACGAAGAACUCCGAUUGCGAAGGCAGCCUACUAAACUGCAACUGACAUUGUUGCUCGAAAGUGUGGGUAUCAAACAGGAUUAGAUACCCCUGUAGUC
Molecule: ribosomal RNA, 460 nt
Filed under: uncultured bacterium
Lineage: Bacteria
Description: partial 16S ribosomal RNA
Rfam family: Bacterial small subunit ribosomal RNA
Source: RNAcentral